GAGCUCAACGAGAACAGAAAU
This 21-nucleotide small nuclear RNA is filed under the name Arabidopsis thaliana (thale cress). RNAcentral's name for it is "snRNA_13934". The record is from RNAcentral. Lineage: Eukaryota; Viridiplantae; Streptophyta; Magnoliopsida; Brassicales; Brassicaceae.